ACGGAAGGCAGCAGUGGGGGAUAUUGGACAAUGGGCGAAAGCCUGAUCCAGCGACGCCGCGUGAGUGAAGAAGUAUUUCGGUAUGUAAAGCUCUAUCAGCAGGGAAGAUAAUGACGGUACCUGACUAAGAAGCCCCGGCUAACUACGUGCCAGCAGCCGCGGUAAUACGUAGGGGGCAAGCGUUAUCCGGAGUUACUGGGUGUAAAGGGAGCGUAGACGGUAUGGCAAGUCUGAUGUGAAAACCCAGGGCUCAACCCUGGGACUGCAUUGGAAACUGUCAAACUAGAGUGCAGGAGAGGUAAGUGGAAUUCCUAGUGUAGCGGUGAAAUGCGUUGAUAUUAGGAGGAACACCAGUGGCGAAGGCGGCUUACUGGACUGUAACUGACGUUGAGGCUCGAAAGCGUGGGGAGCAAACAGGAUUAGAUACCCUGGUA
RNAcentral lists this ribosomal RNA (434 nucleotides) under uncultured Lachnospiraceae bacterium. RNAcentral's name for it is "partial 16S ribosomal RNA". It matches the Rfam family "Bacterial small subunit ribosomal RNA", at positions 341 to 792 of the family's 1533-position model. The record is from RNAcentral. Lineage: Bacteria; Bacillati; Bacillota; Clostridia; Lachnospirales; Lachnospiraceae.